GAACUGAGCUGCUGCCACUAUGUGGUCAUUAGAAAUAUGAGAACCAUCUGGUUCCUUUCUCCUAGAGAGCAAACAGCUAUCUGCCAAGGUGGGCUGAAGUCAGAUGGAGUAUUUCAAGAUAAAAAUGAGAAGACCUGAAACUCACAGAACCCUCUUUAGGAUGUUGGUGCUGAGCCUGUGCCAUCCUCCCUUACCAAGGCUCCUUCAGCCCCUGCCUCUGGGUUCUUCCUCCUUCCAGCAGCCUGAUUUCUGGGAGAUGCUCAGCUGAGUGCACAAGGCUGUGAGGCACUGGCAAUGUCCCCCUGGCACCCUACUCUUCAGGGAAACUGCAAACUACUUGACACGCAGGCUUCCAAGAAAUUUGCGAAAUGUUUUCUGGCAAGCUGAGAAACAACAGUUUACAAGAUGGAAAUACAUGUAUUGAUGUUUGAUUUCUUGCUGCCCAAACAUACUUUGGGGCUUCGUUUAGCCUGAGCUCAACUGCUGGUUGUUUAUACAGGCUACUGGCUGUUUACAUUAGGUCAAUACACAGGAUGGGCUGUUUAUACCAGACCAGCAACAAAUUCCACAGCAUGGUCUGUGUCUACCACUGCUGCUCUUUUAUAUGUGCAGAGCUGGAAAGAAAUAAAAACUCAGCUCUGGAAAUAAACAAGCAACAAACCCUCCUA
Molecule: long non-coding RNA, 668 nt
Organism: Oxyura jamaicensis (ruddy duck)
Lineage: Eukaryota; Metazoa; Chordata; Aves; Anseriformes; Anatidae
Exons: 3
Source: RefSeq, a predicted model, not a curated record